This 406-nucleotide ribosomal RNA is filed under the name uncultured bacterium. RNAcentral's name for it is "partial 16S ribosomal RNA". It matches the Rfam family "Bacterial small subunit ribosomal RNA", at positions 30 to 526 of the family's 1533-position model. The record is from RNAcentral.
AUUGAACGCUGGCGGCAGGCCUAACACAUGCAAGUCGGACGAGUGGCGGACGGGUGAGUAAUGUCUGGGGAUCUGCCUGAUGGAGGGGGAUAACUACUGGAAACGGUAGCUAAUACCGCAUACCAUCUGAUGAACCCAUAUGGGAUUAGCUUGUUGGUGGGGUAACGGCUCACCAAGGCGACGAUCCCUAGCUGGUCUGAGAGGAGGACCAGCCACACUGGGACUGAGACACGGUCCAGACGCCUACGGGAGGCAGCAGUGGGGAAUAUUGCACAAUGGGCGCAAGCCUGAUGCAGCCAUGCCGCGUGUAUGAAGAAGGCCUUCGGGUUGUAAAGUACUUUCAGCCGGGAGGCGUUACCGGCAGAAGAAGCACCGGCUAACUCCGUGCCAGCAGCCGCGGUAAUAC